RNAcentral lists this unclassified non-coding RNA (195 nucleotides) under uncultured Xanthoconium. RNAcentral's name for it is "sequence contains ITS2". The record is from RNAcentral. Lineage: Eukaryota; Fungi; Basidiomycota; Agaricomycetes; Boletales; Boletaceae.
AAUUCUCAACCAUGUCUACUUUGGACAUGGCUUGGAGUUGGGGGGUCUGCUGGCCCAUGCAUGGGUCAGCUCUCCUGAAAUGCAUUAGCAAAAUGGCAGACAUGCACGGCCUUUCGACGUGAUAAUGAUCGUCGUGGCUGGAGUGUCAGAUCGCCCACGUUGCUUCUAAUCGAUGUCCUUUUCGACAACGCGACG